GGUAGUUGGUAGGGUAGAGGCCUACCAAGCCUGCGAUCGGUAGCCGGCCUGAGAGGGUGGACGACCACAUUGGGACUGAGACACGGCCCAAACUCCUACGGGAGGCAGCAGUGGGGGAUAUUGCACAAUGGGCGAAAGCCUGAUGCAGCGACGCCGCGUGGGUGAAGAAGUACCUCGGUACGUAAAGCCCUAUCAGCAGGGAAGAAAAUGACGGUACCUGGCUAAGAAGCUCCGGCUAAAUACGUGCCAGCAGCCGCGGUAAUACGUAUGGAGCAAGCGUUAUCCGGAUUUACUGGGUGUAAAGGGAGCGUAGGCGGCAUACCAAGCCUGAUGUGAAAACCCGGGGCCCAACCCCGGGAGUGCAUUGGGAACUGGCAAGCUAGAGUGUCGGAGAGGCAGGCGGAAUUCCUAGUGUAGCGGUGAAAUGCGUAGAUAUUAGGAGGAACACCAGUGGCGAAGGCGGCCUGCUGGACGAUGACUGACGCUGAGGCUCGAAAGCGUGGGGAGCAAACAGGAUUAGAUACCCUGGUAGUCCACGCCG
This 541-nucleotide ribosomal RNA is filed under the name uncultured bacterium. RNAcentral's name for it is "bacterial SSU rRNA". It matches the Rfam family "Bacterial small subunit ribosomal RNA", at positions 244 to 802 of the family's 1533-position model. The record is from RNAcentral.